RNAcentral lists this ribosomal RNA (247 nucleotides) under Phlebia sp. RNAcentral describes it as "partial 28S ribosomal RNA". It matches the Rfam family "Eukaryotic large subunit ribosomal RNA", at positions 104 to 344 of the family's 3401-position model. Lineage: Eukaryota; Fungi; Basidiomycota; Agaricomycetes; Polyporales; Meruliaceae. The record is from RNAcentral.
AAAGCUCAAAUUUAAAAUCUGGCAGUCUUCGGCUGUCCGAGUUGUAGUCUAGAGAAGCGUCUUCCGCGCUGGACCGUGUACAAGUCUCUUGGAACAGAGCGUCAUAGAGGGUGAGAAUCCCGUCUUUGACACGGACUACCAGUGCUUUGUGAUGCGCUCUCAAAGAGUCGAGUUGUUUGGGAAUGCAGCUCAAAAUGGGUGGUAAAUUCCAUCUAAAGCUAAAUAUUGGCGAGAGACCGAUAGCGAA